RNAcentral lists this ribosomal RNA (251 nucleotides) under uncultured bacterium. Its description in RNAcentral is "partial 16S ribosomal RNA". It matches the Rfam family "Bacterial small subunit ribosomal RNA", at positions 524 to 776 of the family's 1533-position model. The record is from RNAcentral.
UACGUAGGGUGCGAGCGUUGUCCGGAAUUAUUGGGCGUAAAGAGCUCGUAGGCGGUGAAUCGGGUUGAAAGUGAAAGUCGCCAAAAAGUGGCGGAAUGCUCUCGAAACCAAUUCACUUGAGUGAGACAGAGGAGAGUGGAAUUUCGUGUGUAGGGGUGAAAUCCGUAGAUCUACGAAGGAACGCCAAAAGCGAAGGCAGCUCUCUGGGUCCCUACCGACGCUGGGGUGCGAAAGCAUGGGGAGCGAACAGG